UACGGAAGGCAGCAGUAGGGAAUAUUGGGCAAUGGGCGAGAGCCUGACCCAGCCAUGCCGCGUGCAGGAAGAAGGCUUUCUGAGUCGUAAACUGCUUUUGAUAGGGAAGAAUAACCAGUACGUGUACUGGGAUGACGGUACCUACAGAAUAAGCACCGGCUAACUCCGUGCCAGCAGCCGCGGUAAUACGGAGGGUGCGAGCGUUGUCCGGAUUUAUUGGGUUUAAAGGGUGCGUAGGCGGCCCGUUAAGUCCGGGGUGAAAGCCCGCUGCUCAACAGCGGAACUGCCCUGGAUACUGGCGGGCUUGAGUACAGACGAGGUUGGCGGAAUGGACCGAGUAGCGGUGAAAUGCAUAGAUACGGUCCAGACCCGAUUGCGAAGGCAGCUGACUAGGCUGUUACUGACGCUGAGGCACGACAGCGUGGGGAGCGAACAGGGAUUAGAUACC
Molecule: ribosomal RNA, 448 nt
Filed under: uncultured bacterium
Lineage: Bacteria
Description: bacterial SSU rRNA
Rfam family: Bacterial small subunit ribosomal RNA
Source: RNAcentral